This 460-nucleotide ribosomal RNA is filed under the name uncultured bacterium. RNAcentral's name for it is "partial 16S ribosomal RNA". It matches the Rfam family "Bacterial small subunit ribosomal RNA", at positions 338 to 795 of the family's 1533-position model. The record is from RNAcentral.
CCUACGGGUGGCAGCAGUGAGGAAUAUUGGUCAAUGGGCGGGAGCCUGAACCAGCCAAGUCGCGUGAGGGAAGACGGUCCUAUGGAUUGUAAACCUCUUUAGGCGGGGAGCAAUGCCGGGCACGCGUGCCCGGAGGGAGAGUACCCGCAGAAUAAGCAUCGGCUAACUCCGUGCCAGCAGCCGCGGUAAUACGGAGGAUGCGAGCGUUAUCCGGUUUUAUUGGGUGUAAAGGGUGCGUAGGCGGAUUUUUAAGUCAGCGGUAAAAGGUCCGGGCUCAACCAGGGCCGGCCGUUGAAACGGGGGAUCUUGAGUGGGCGAGAAGUAUGCGGAAUGCGUGGGGUAGCGGUGCAAUGCAUAGAUAUCACGCAGAACUCCGAUUGCGAAGGCAGCAUACCGGCGCCCGACUGACGCUGAGGCACGAAAGCGUGGGGAUCGAACAGGAUUAGAUACCCCAGUAGUC